AAUGCAUGCAGGAAUAAUUUGGCCACCAACAGUGUGUGUGAACCUCAAAACCCUCCCUAACCGGCUGAAGAAAGAGCGACAAAGCCGUUCAAUGCGACAUUGACUUUUAACACUUCUGAGUCCGAGACAAACCUGGGUACGGGCGGCAGGAGUGCUGAGACCGUGCGCGCGGAAUGAGCUAGGAGAGAGAUAGAGGCUCAGGUGAAAGCAGCACAUGAGGAGCAGGAGAUAAACGAGGGCACGAGCUGAAUUCUGGAGAUUGAGUGUACAUCAAGAUACACCAGGCGGGGGUGUUGGGACAGUGUUGGUCUGGUCCAUGCAUAGUACUCCUUACAUCACCUGCAGCGGUAAAGAUCGUUAUGUCUCUCCUCGGUGGAUGCACAAUUCUCACGGGAAGUGAGGUCCAGCUGCAUAAUAGGUGACGUGCCUAUCAGGUGGCAAUGGAGGAAAUGGGGAACAAAGUGAAAAUGACAUUUCUUGGGAACACCUCUCGGAACCUGGGGCCGGAAAGGGGAAGACUGGCCGAAAGCAUGAGUAGGCUUAUAUUUUUGUGGAAUCCAGCAGAAAAGUAUCCUGGAGGCAUAGAGUCAGGAACCAGAAGGAGAACGUUGAACUGGGAGAAGUCAACAGCUCCAUGGGACAAGUUAUUAUCAGUGUUCUAUGAGAGAUGGAAAUAAGAUUUGUAUGGUGUGAUCAUAGAACAGUUGAAAAGUUUCUGACUUUGUAAACCUCAUGAUGUUUGUUCAUUUAUAAUCAUGUUUUAUUAUUUUUUGUUCAUGUUUUAUUAUCACUGUUUGUUCAUUUAUAAGUAAUUUAUAAGUGUAAGUGAGUUGAACAGUAGGAAGCUAUUGUUCUAGAGGAGGGACUGUUGUGUUCUGAGAAUAUAAAAUAUACUUAUUCAUGUCACUGAGGGAGAGAGGGUAAUGUAUAACGUUUACAUUAUAUCAGGGAUCCUAUUGAACAUGCAGGGUGCAGGGAAGCGAUCACAUGUGGCAGGCUUUGAUAAGGGGAGAGAGCCAUGGAUUAGUGAUGAAGGGGGGGGUCGAGAUUAGGUCAGGUCUCGUUAAGGGAGAAAUACAAGUUUAUGGCUCGCAUCACUUAGUGCCCUGCCUAGCAGUAAAGACACAAUGUUUGUACAGAUGUGUAGGAAGAGACUCAGCCUAGGAGAAAGGGUUAAAUAU
Oncorhynchus tshawytscha (Chinook salmon) is the source of this 1181-nucleotide long non-coding RNA. RefSeq lists it as uncharacterized. The record is from RefSeq and is a predicted model, not a curated record. Lineage: Eukaryota; Metazoa; Chordata; Actinopteri; Salmoniformes; Salmonidae. The transcript is spliced from 4 exons.